RNAcentral lists this ribosomal RNA (588 nucleotides) under Escherichia coli. RNAcentral's name for it is "partial 23S ribosomal RNA". It matches the Rfam family "Bacterial large subunit ribosomal RNA", at positions 602 to 1191 of the family's 2925-position model. The record is from RNAcentral. Lineage: Bacteria; Pseudomonadati; Pseudomonadota; Gammaproteobacteria; Enterobacterales; Enterobacteriaceae.
UACCUUUUGUAUAAUGGGUCAGCGACUUAUAUUCUGUAGCAAGGUUAACCGAAUAGGGGAGCCGAAGGGAAACCGAGUCUUAACUGGGCGUUAAGUUGCAGGGUAUAGACCCGAAACCCGGUGAUCUAGCCAUGGGCAGGUUGAAGGUUGGGUAACACUAACUGGAGGACCGAACCGACUAAUGUUGAAAAAUUAGCGGAUGACUUGUGGCUGGGGGUGAAAGGCCAAUCAAACCGGGAGAUAGCUGGUUCUCCCCGAAAGCUAUUUAGGUAGCGCCUCGUGAAUUCAUCUCCGGGGGUAGAGCACUGUUUCGGCAAGGGGGUCAUCCCGACUUACCAACCCGAUGCAAACUGCGAAUACCGGAGAAUGUUAUCACGGGAGACACACGGCGGGUGCUAACGUCCGUCGUGAAGAGGGAAACAACCCAGACCGCCAGCUAAGGUCCCAAAGUCAUGGUUAAGUGGGAAACGAUGUGGGAAGGCCCAGACAGCCAGGAUGUUGGCUUAGAAGCAGCCAUCAUUUAAAGAAAGCGUAAUAGCUCACUGGUCGAGUCGGCCUGCGCGGAAGAUGUAACGGGGCUAAACCAUG